Molecule: ribosomal RNA, 253 nt
Filed under: uncultured bacterium
Lineage: Bacteria
Description: partial 16S ribosomal RNA
Rfam family: Bacterial small subunit ribosomal RNA
Source: RNAcentral
UACGGGGGGGGCAAGCGUUGUUCGGAAUUGCUGGGCGUAAAGGGCUCGUAGGCGGCCAACUAAGUCGGACGUGAAAUCCCUCGGCUUAACCGGGGAACUGCGUCCGAUACUGGAUGGCUUGAGUGUGGGAGAGGGAUGCGGAAUUCCAGGUGUAGCGGUGAAAUGCGUAGAUAUCUGGAGGAACACCGGUGGCGAAGGCGGCAUCCUGGACCACGACUGACGCUGAGGAGCGAAAGCCAGGGGAGCAAACGGG